CCUGUUUACAAGAGAGAAAAACUUCUGUGUUCAUCACAAUUCCAAGAAACAAAACAUGGCCAAGAUCAACUGAUUUGUUCAAAAGAAGUCUGGAACCUGAUUUUUACUGGGAGAUCAAUUUCUUCUUCUUCCUGUUCAUUCAGAUUUCCAUCACAGCCUGCAGUUCCCUACCACUGGUGGUUGAGACUUGCUCUUUGGGGUCAAGAAGACUUGGAGAGGCUGAUUGCAUUCCUGCAGGAACCUGAGAGCCCUUGGGAAUACAAGCAAAGAGUUGGAAAAAUAAGUCCAGUGAAAUAUAAGAAUCAGCACAUCCAGUGACAGAAACCUCACCUUCUCACCCCAGAAACUGCUGAAUAACCGAGAGGAAGGUCUGGGAAGUUGAGUGGCACUCCCCAGAGAAGAGGAAGAUAAAUCAGUCCUGAGUGGGGGUGGCUGCUGCUGUCUCC
Calypte anna (Anna's hummingbird) is the source of this 446-nucleotide long non-coding RNA. RefSeq lists it as uncharacterized. Lineage: Eukaryota; Metazoa; Chordata; Aves; Apodiformes; Trochilidae. The transcript is spliced from 3 exons. The record is from RefSeq and is a predicted model, not a curated record.